UGACGAGAAGACCCUAAUGAGCUUGUAAUUUUAUUAUUGUUAUUUAAAAUAUUUAGAUAGCAAUAUAUAAAUUUUAAUUGGGGUGAUUAAGGAAUAAGUUGAAUAUAGUAACUUCCUUAAAUUGAAUAUUUAUAGAUAAAGUAACCAAUAUAAUAUUGCUUAUAAUAUAGUUACCAUAGGGAUAACAGCGUAAUUCGUUUAGAGAGUUCUUAUUGAAAAACGAGAUUGCGACCUCA
RNAcentral lists this ribosomal RNA (236 nucleotides) under Dosidicus gigas (jumbo flying squid). Its description in RNAcentral is "partial 16S ribosomal RNA". The record is from RNAcentral. Lineage: Eukaryota; Metazoa; Mollusca; Cephalopoda; Oegopsida; Ommastrephidae.